GAUGAACGCUGGCGGCGUGCCUAAUACAUGCAAGUCGAGCGAACAGACGAGGAGCUUGCUCCUCUGACGUUAGCGGCGGACGGGUGAGUAACACGUGGAUAACCUACCCAUAAGACUGGGAUAACUUCGGGAAACCGGAGCUAAUACCGGAUAACAUGUUGAACCGCAUGGUUCAACAGUGAAAGACGGUCUUGCUGUCACUUAUAGAUGGAUCCGCGCCGCAUUAGCUAGUUGGUAAGGUAACGGCUUACCAAGGCAACGAUGCGUAGCCGACCUGAGAGGGUGAUCGGCCACACUGGAACUGAGACACGGUCCAGACUCCUACGGGAGGCAGCAGUAGGGAAUCUUCCGCAAUGGGCGAAAGCCUGACGGAGCAACGCCGCGUGAGUGAAGAAGGUCUUCGGAUCGUAAAACUCUGUUAUUAGGGAAGAACAAAUGUGUAAGUAACUAUGCACGUCUUGACGGUACCUAAUCAGAAAGCCACGGCUAACUACGUG
Molecule: ribosomal RNA, 497 nt
Filed under: uncultured bacterium
Lineage: Bacteria
Description: partial 16S ribosomal RNA
Rfam family: Bacterial small subunit ribosomal RNA
Source: RNAcentral